This 508-nucleotide ribosomal RNA is filed under the name uncultured Glomeraceae. Its description in RNAcentral is "SSU rRNA". It matches the Rfam family "Eukaryotic small subunit ribosomal RNA", at positions 569 to 1082 of the family's 1831-position model. The record is from RNAcentral. Lineage: Eukaryota; Fungi; Glomeromycota; Glomeromycetes; Glomerales; Glomeraceae.
AGCAGCCGCGGUAAUUCCAGCUCCAAUAGCGUAUAUUAAAGUUGCUGCAGUUAAAAAGCUCGUAGUUGAAUUUCGGGACCAAUAUGUCGGUCGUGCCUCGGUACGUACUGGCAUCGUUGGUUUCUCCCUUCUGACGAACCAUGGUGUCAUUUAUUUGGUGUCGUGGGGAAUCAGGACUGUUACUUUGAAAAAAUUAGAGUGUUUAAAGCAGGCUCACGCUUGAAUACAUUAGCAUGGAAUAAUGAAAUAGGACGUUUGAUUCUAUUUUGUUGGUUUCUAGGAUCGACGUAAUGAUUAAUAGGGAUAGUUGGGGGCAUUAGUAUUCAAUUGUCAGAGGUGAAAUUCUUGGAUUUAUUGAAGACUAACUACUGCGAAAGCAUUUGCCAAGGAUGUUUUCAUUAAUCAAGAACGAAAGUUAGGGGAUCGAAGACGAUCAGAUACCGUCGUAGUCUUAACCAUAAACUAUGCCGACUAGGGAUCGGAUGAUGUUAAUUUUUUAAUGUACUCA